UUUUCCCAACCCCCUUUAAUGGACAACAACUUCCAAUGCCAUAUAUUAAAUUUAUUUUAAUAAUAAAAUAUUUUCUCUCCCUAUAAAAACUAUUCUAAUUAUUAAGAAUAUCUUUUUAGUUGGGAUUGUCAUAUAUAUCCAGAUUUUCUAUAUUUGUUAUGUCAUAUAUAUCAAAGGGAAAAUUUUUAAUAGAUAUUCAACAACUUCCAAUGCAUAAUAAUAAUUUUUCUCUCUCUCUAAUUCAAAUAAAAGAUUUGAACCGAAACAACUUCCAAUGCAUUAAUAAUAUAUUUUCUCUCUCUAAAACAACUUUUCCAAAAUUAUUUUUUCAGAAUAUCUUUUUUUAAUUUUCAACUCUUAAUCUUCCACGAUUUUUGUUUGGAUUGCAGGUUAUCUAACUAAAAUUAUUCUACGGACACAACAUAUUCAUAUAUCAUCAAAUCCCCAGAUUCGCGCUUCAAAUUUUUCAAAUCCGAAUUUUUCUACUUCAUUCUCAAGUAAUUCCGUUUGAAAGUUUGUUUGGAGAUUCAUAUUGUGUUGGUUAUUUGAUGUUAUUCAUAUUACUUUUUGAUUACUUACUUAUUUUUUUUUAAUUUUCGAUCUUUUGUUGUUGUUCUUAAAUUAUUUUUUAGGGUUUCGUAAUACCAAAUUCAAUAUUCAAUGGAUGCAUUCAAAAGAGUGACUAGAGGUAUUGUAAAAAAAAUACACAGUUAUUCCGAGUUUCAUAGUUUUUUUCACUCAAUAAAUAAACAACAAUGUAGGUUCAUCAUCUAAGUCUAAGGAGUGUGCAAAAAUGGCUGAAGAGGUGCAACAUCCCACAGUUCAUGAAGUUGAAUUAGAACAAUUUUUGGGAGAACAGGUAAUUUUUUUUUUGCAUGUGUUGUUUAUUGGAUGUUUAGUUUAUUUUGUUUAGUAAUUUUUAAGAUUGAAAAAAAUACAUUUUACAAUGAAUUUGAAAGUGUAUUUGAAUUGUUUAGUCCGUUAUAGUCUCUAUGUAUUUUUGUAUUGGAAAGUUUUUUUGACUAUUUAUGUAUUGUAUUUUGCAUUCUGUUCAUAUUUUUUGUAUUAGUUGUCAAUGCAAUAAAUAAUUUUUUUUGACUAUUUAUGUAUUAUAUUUUGUAUUCUGUUCAUCUUUUUUGUCUUAGUUGUCAAUGUAAUAUCGUAUACAUUUGUAAGUGUGUUUUGAAUUUUCAUCUUGUUAUAGUUACUUUUUUUCAUAGUUGUAAUGUUUUUUGUAUUCACUAUUAUAGUUGGCACGUAUUUCUGUAUUUAGUAUGUUUAUUGUUUUUUUUGUCAAUGUUACAUAUUUUAUAAGUUUGUAGUUCAUAAAUUUAUUGUAGUUUUUGUAUAUAUGUAAUGGGAGUUGUAUAUUGUAUUCUUUAUUCCACUGUAUAUACAAAAAAAUUCGUUUUAUAUUCUUUUUUUUUGUGUUAGGUUAAUGUACCACAUAUUUGUUACCAUAUCUGUUUUUUUUUGUAUGUUGUGCUAAAUGUGUUGAUUUUUUAUUUAUUAUCAUGUUUUUUUGUUCUGUUAUUUUAGUAUUAUUUCAUUUUUUGGAAUUCAAUAUGCCAGGGGACUUCUUAUGCUUGCAAAAAGCUACCAAAAAAGGCACCCCACAUUCACUGUAUAGUAAGUCAUGACAUUAAAUCCAAGUUGACUGACAAGCUUACACCGGAGCAAUAUAAUUUAUUUUGUGAGAGUACGUGUUUUGGUCAGUAUAUGAAAAUUAGAAAAUGUGUUGGGCAAGGUCAAAUUCACAGGUGCUGUAUGUCACGAGAAGUGGAAGGUAGUAGUAAGCAGGCUCUUUUAAUCAAAGUAAAUGGAGUUAUUUUAAAGUUCACAAUUAGGACGUUUGCUCUUAUUACUGGAUUAAACUGUGUUGGUGUUGUAGAGGAUUUCAAGUUUAACACAGAAGAACCUAACCGACUUAUUGUUCAGUACUUUUGUGGUGAUGAGACCAUACGUAGAUCUGAUUUGUUCGAUAGGUUCAAUGAUAAAGUUUGGGUUGACAAUGAUGAUGAUGCCAUUAAGUUUGCAAUAUUAUAUUUCAUUCAUAUGUUUGUGUAUUCUGGCGAGAAGAGAUCAUUGCGAAUUCCUAGAAUUCAUUUUGAUUUGGUUGAAAGUGGUCGGUAUAUGCAUUAUCCUUGAGGCAUAAAAGCAUUUGAGUGGUUGCUACAGAGUAUCAACAAGGUUUUGACUACUGAUGGUCAAUAUUAUAGAAUAUGUGGUAUGCCUGUUGUCCUUCAAAUAUGGAUAUACGAGUGCAUGGGUAAGCGUCAGACCAAUUUUGCACGGAAAAUCAGUGAUCGUAUCCCCCGUAUUCUAAACUGGCAAACAGUAGGAGCACAACCCCGAUUCAAAACCUUGAUGAAAAACACAUUCAAUGAUGGUAAUAGAGAGGUAUUGUAUGUAAUUAUUAAAUUUGUAUCUUUGUUAUUGUAUUAAUUCGAUGUAUAUAUUUUAUUAUGUUAAUUAUUAUGUUUACUAUCGGUUUCAGAUUAAAUGGAAGAAUGUUGUCCCUUCUCUAAUGGAAAUCGCUGUUCUACAAUUGCCUCCUGAAGGUCUUCACAAAUCAACUGAAGGUGUUCAAACAGAGCCACAUCGUGAUAUUGAUGAACAAGUACUUUCUGGACAGAAUUCAGAUGAUGAUUUUGUCGACCCACCUCCACCUUCAAUGAAGGUUACAGGUAAAAGAAAAAAGGGGCAAUCAGUAUCUCCUGCUAAAACGGUACGGAAAAAUGAUUCAAAUAUGACAGAUCAAAUGGAACAGACUGAAAAGAUCGAUCCAGUAGCGAACCAGAAUGUGGAGAAAGUUGGAAUUAGAAAAGUUGUGCGGAAGAAAAAAAAUUGUGUUUUAAGAAGAAAACCACUCCCACUUGUGUGCCAACAAAGGAUUCCCAAAUACCAUCUAUAAGUGUGUCUCAUGAACAAUUAAUGAGGAACGAACUAUCUGAGUUACGAAAGGAGGUAUAUACUGUUUAUACAUAUGUUAUUUCAAUAUAUUUAUUCAAAUAAUUGCAAUCUGUAAAAUUUAAUCAUAUUGUAAAUGUUUCAGGUUAGAGAGGAGUUUAAAGACAUACGGAAGUUGAUAAAUGAUAAUUUUAAUAUCAUUAUGUCUAUUUUGAAGGACCAAAAAAACAAUGACAAUGCUGGUCAAGGAUCACAACCUUUUACAAGUCCAAUUUUAUCUGAAAAUCAAAACCAGGACAACACAAACAAUCACAAUGCUGCUCAAGGACGACAACAUUUUACAAAAUCAGUUGAUUCAGAAAAUCAAAAUCAGGUAUUCUGAAUCUUAUUUUUAAAAUAAAGAUUACUAUUUUAGUAUUCUGUUUUUCUUACUACAUUUUUGUUUAAGAUACAUUUGUAUUUUUACAUGUCAUUAAUAUUGUAUUUCAAUAUAAUUUUUUUUUGUAUUUAUGUUGACUUCUUUUGUAUCUGCAUGGAAUGAAUGGUCUGUUUUGAUGAUGAGAAGUCGGAGGGCCAUGAAAGCUCAAAUAAUGGCAGCGAGGAAGUUUUUCAAGUAUGUUCAUUAUAAAUUUUGUAUUUUCACAUGGUUUAACGAUAUUUUAUCCAAUCUCCUAUUUUUAAAGGAUCAUUCAAUUUUUGAAAAUUCAAAUCAGGGAGACAUAUCCGAUGUUGCUGAUAAUCAAGUAUGUUUUUUAAGUCUAGAUAUUUAUAUAGUGCAUUUGGGAACAUUGUUAAGAAUUAACAUUUUAAUUUUUUUAAAGGUUGAUUGUGACAAUUCACCUGUGCGUAAUCUGAUCACUGUAGAUGCUGGUUUUAGUUCGUCUAAAUCAAUAAUCCCAAGUGUAUGUUGUUCUACUUAUCUAAACUAAUUACUUUUAUUCUUAUUAGUAUAAUUUGCUUUUGAAUAAUUUUUUUUAUACCUCAGCCAUCAUUUGUAAGGCCACUUGUUUUUGAAAGUCAACAUGACUUUACACAUCAACAUGACAAUGAUGAAGAGGAUCAGUUCAUAUUUCCUACCCCUAUUCAAUCUAUUGUUCCCUUGGAAGGGUCACCACAAUCACAAUUUGAGUUGGAUGAUUCUCUAAUGCCAAGUCUCAGUGACAUAAAAAGUAAUCGUGCUACUGACAAUACCAUUAAUUCAGAACGGAGCAUUAUCAUGCACAAUCAAAACACAAGCAAUGAAAGCUCAAAUAUUCAAAAAAAAGGCUAGCAAGGAUAGUCAGAAUCAAAAAAGUCCUGUUCACACACCAUUACAUGCACAUAGAAUUAGACGUCCAGGACCUUUCAAUACAUCCCCAUAUAUUACAUCAUUCAGCUCAUCUGCAGGUAUAAAGACAUAACAAAUUAUAAUGUAUUGAAAAUCUGAUUUAUAU
Solanum lycopersicum (tomato) is the source of this 4343-nucleotide non-coding RNA. The record is from RefSeq and is a predicted model, not a curated record. NCBI's taxonomy places the organism in Eukaryota, Viridiplantae, Streptophyta, Magnoliopsida, Solanales, Solanaceae.